GAUGAACGCUGGCGGCGUGCCUAAUACAUGCAAGUCGAGCGAACAGACGAGGAGCUUGCUCCUCUGACGUUAGCGGCGGACGGGUGAGUAAUACGUGGAUAACCUACCUAUAAGACUGGGAUAACUUCGGGAAACCGGAGCUAAUACCGGAUCAUAUAUUGAACCGCAUGGUUCAAUAGUGAAAGACGGUUUUGCUGUCACUUAUAGAUGGUUCCGCGCCGCAUUAGCUAGUUGGUAAGGUAACGGCUUACCAAGGCAACGAUGCGUAGCCGAUCUGAGAGGGUGAUCAGCCACACUGGAACUGAGACACGGUCCAGACUCCUACGGGAGGCAGCAGUGGGGAAUCUUCCACAAUGGGCGAAAGCCUGACGGAGCAACGCCGCGUGAGUGAUGAAGGUCUUCGGAUCGUAAAACUCUGUUAGUAGGGAAGAACAAAUGUGUAAGUAAAUAUGCACGUCUUGACGGUACCUAAUCAGAAAGCCACGGCUAACUACGUG
RNAcentral lists this ribosomal RNA (497 nucleotides) under uncultured bacterium. Its description in RNAcentral is "partial 16S ribosomal RNA". It matches the Rfam family "Bacterial small subunit ribosomal RNA", at positions 28 to 507 of the family's 1533-position model. The record is from RNAcentral.